UACGUAGGGUCCGAGCGUUGUCCGGAAUUAUUGGGCGUAAAGGGCUCGUAGGCGGUCUGUCGCGUCGGUCGUGAAAACUUGGGGCUUAACCCUGAGCUUGCGGUCGAUACGGGCAUGACUGGAGUUCGGCAGGGGAGACUGGAAUUCCUGGUGUAGCGGUGAAAUGCGCAGAUAUCAGGAGGAACACCGGUGGCGAAGGCGGGUCUCUGGGCCGAUACUGACGCUGAGGAGCGAAAGCGUGGGGAGCAAACAGG
RNAcentral lists this ribosomal RNA (254 nucleotides) under uncultured bacterium. RNAcentral's name for it is "partial 16S ribosomal RNA". It matches the Rfam family "Bacterial small subunit ribosomal RNA", at positions 524 to 776 of the family's 1533-position model. The record is from RNAcentral.